This 253-nucleotide ribosomal RNA is filed under the name uncultured bacterium. RNAcentral's name for it is "partial 16S ribosomal RNA". It matches the Rfam family "Bacterial small subunit ribosomal RNA", at positions 524 to 776 of the family's 1533-position model. The record is from RNAcentral.
UACGUAGGUGGCAAGCGGUGUCCGGAUUUAUUGGGUUUAAAGGGUGCGUAGGCGGCUUAUUAAGUCAGUGGUGAAAUACUCUAGCUCAACUAGAGGGGUGCCAUUGAUACUGAUGAGCUUGAGUACAGAUGAGGUAGGCGGAAUUGACGGUGUAGCGGUGAAAUGCUUAGAUAUCGUCAAGAACACCUAUAGCGAAGGCAGCUUACUAGGCUGUAACUGACGCUGAGGCACGAAGGUGUGGGGAUCAAACAGG